This 484-nucleotide ribosomal RNA is filed under the name uncultured bacterium. RNAcentral's name for it is "partial 16S ribosomal RNA". It matches the Rfam family "Bacterial small subunit ribosomal RNA", at positions 28 to 507 of the family's 1533-position model. The record is from RNAcentral.
AUUGAACGCUGGCGGCAUGCUUUACACAUGCAAGUCGAACGGCAGCGCGGGCUUCGGCCUGGCGGCGAGUGGCGAACGGGUGAGUAAUGCAUCGGAACGUGCCCAGUAGUGGGGGAUAGCGCGGCGAAAGCCGGAUUAAUACCGCAUACGACCUGAGGGUGAAAGCGGGGGACCGAAAGGCCUCGCGCUAUUGGAGCGGCCGAUGUCGGAUUAGCUAGUUGGUGGGGUAAAGGCUUACCAAGGCGACGAUCCGUAGCUGGUCUGAGAGGACGACCAGCCACACUGGGACUGAGACACGGCCCAGACUCCUACGGGAGGCAGCAGUGGGGAAUUUUGGACAAUGGGGGCAACCCUGAUCCAGCCAUGCCGCGUGCGGGAAGAAGGCCUUCGGGUUGUAAACCGCUUUUGUUCGGGAAGAAAUCCUGUGGGCUAAUACCCCGGGGGGAUGACGGUACCGGAAGAAUAAGCACCGGCUAACUACGUG